Molecule: long non-coding RNA, 499 nt
Organism: Helianthus annuus (common sunflower)
Lineage: Eukaryota; Viridiplantae; Streptophyta; Magnoliopsida; Asterales; Asteraceae
Exons: 2
Source: RefSeq, a predicted model, not a curated record
CAUGAUUCCUUAUUUCCUUCUUUAGUUAAAAAAAAAAGAAAACUCUAAUACCUAAUCUCUCUCAACUCUCUCAACUACUGCAGCCGACAUCAUCAAGAUCCACCGCACCACGGCAAUCCGGCAUCCACCGCUCCACUGCACCGGCAUCAAGAUCCUCCCAUGUCCGCCUGCAUCCACCGCUGGCCAUCCACCACGCAUAGCACUCCGGCAGUUCAAAAUUUGCCGAUAUCAGAUCUGAAUCUAAAUUGAAGUUCGGUUUGAUUCGGAGUUGAAGAUUGGAACAAAUAACAGUAUGUGCAGCUGAAUGGUUUGGGUAUUUUGAAUAAGAACUGUUGAUUAAAAUCGAAGUCGGAUACUUUUAGUUCAUUUCGGAAACUAAAAACUGGAUUUUGUUGGAUCAGGCCCCUUUUUUAGGACUUUAAGGUUCCUGUAAUAGCAUAAACAAUGUGUGAAUCACAGUUUGAUUUUUUUUUAAUCACAGUUUGAUUUUUUAGUGUUC